GCUACAUCGAGACCUUUUAGAUUCGGUUGUUGUGGUACCAUAAAAAGAUGGCGAGCUGUAACAAAAGGCCCCGGAGAAGUAAUAUUUCAAGUAUGGAGACAUUCCGACAAGAGAAAUCAUUACAUAUUGAUUGGACAGAACGUUGUUAAGUUCGAUAAGGCAGGAGAUACAGUCAUAGACAUACCACAAAGUCAAAGAAUUUCCGUUGACAAGGGUGACUACAUAGGAUGGUAUACAGUAACAGAAGCUUUCAUUGUGCAUGAAGAAAAUGUAGGCAGUAAAGAUCACCAUAUAAUAGAAAAUAUGCCAGUUCCAUCUGAAGGACAAGAUGUUGACUGGUCUAAAAAUAAAGUCAAAGAAAAAAGGAUAUACGCAGUUGAAGCAAUAGGAGA
Molecule: long non-coding RNA, 392 nt
Organism: Mytilus californianus (California mussel)
Lineage: Eukaryota; Metazoa; Mollusca; Bivalvia; Mytilida; Mytilidae
Exons: 3
Source: RefSeq, a predicted model, not a curated record